RNAcentral lists this ribosomal RNA (125 nucleotides) under Podospora anserina S mat+. Lineage: Eukaryota; Fungi; Ascomycota; Sordariomycetes; Sordariales; Podosporaceae. The record is from RNAcentral.
UCACAUACGACCAUACCCAGCUGAAAAUACGGGAUCCCGUCCGCUCUCCCAUCGUCAAGCAGUUGAGGGUCGAAUCAGUACUCAGGUGGGUGACCACUGGGGAAUCCUCGAUGUUGUAUGUUUUG